This 227-nucleotide long non-coding RNA is filed under the name Elaeis guineensis (African oil palm). RNAcentral's name for it is "long non-coding RNA (EGUI_LNC021851)". Lineage: Eukaryota; Viridiplantae; Streptophyta; Magnoliopsida; Arecales; Arecaceae. The record is from RNAcentral.
GGGAGACUUCGAAGCCUGCGAGGAGAAUAUGAAGAAAUAUCUCUAAAAGAUGAAAGAUCUAGUUUCGAAAUUUACUAGCUUCGAGAUUCAGUAGUUGCUCUGAUCUAAAAAUUCAAGAGCUGAUCUGCUGUCCAAGUUAGUGACAUCGGCCCCAAAGGAUCUACCUCAGAAGAUAUUCUUUGAGAUUUUAGAAAGGCCCAAUAUUGAAAAACCGAUUCCAGUCCUAC